AGCAGACCCGACGGUAAUUUCCGUAGCUCCAAUAGCGUAUAUUAAAGUUCGUUGGCAGUUAAAAAGCGUCGUAGUUGAAUUUCGGGAUUGACGUGAUGGUCAUGCCUUAAGGGGUAUGAACUGUUACAGUUGAUUUCUCACCUUCUGGAGAAACUUGAUGUCCUUUAUUUGGGUGUCUUGCGGAUCCAGGACCUUUACCUUGAAAAAAUUAGAGUGUUUAAAGCAGGCAUUUUUGCUCGAAUACAUUAGCAUGGAAUAAUAGAAUAGGACGGCAUGGUUCUAUUUUGUUGGUUUCUAGGAUCACCGUAAUGAUUAAUAGGGAUAGUUGGGGGCAUUAGUAUUCAAUUGUCAGAGGUGAAAUUCUUGGAUUUAUUGAAGACUAACUACUGCGAAAGUAUUUGCCAAGGAUGUUUUCAUUAAUCAAGAACGAAAGUUAGGGGAUCGAAGACGAUCAGAUACCGUCGUAGUCUUAACCAUAAACUAUGCCGACUAGGAAUCAGACGAUGUUAAUUUUUUUAAU
This 520-nucleotide ribosomal RNA is filed under the name uncultured Entrophospora. RNAcentral's name for it is "SSU rRNA". It matches the Rfam family "Eukaryotic small subunit ribosomal RNA", at positions 569 to 1076 of the family's 1831-position model. Lineage: Eukaryota; Fungi; Glomeromycota; Glomeromycetes; Entrophosporales; Entrophosporaceae. The record is from RNAcentral.